This is a long non-coding RNA of Oncorhynchus tshawytscha (Chinook salmon), 2322 nucleotides long. The record is from Ensembl. Lineage: Eukaryota; Metazoa; Chordata; Actinopteri; Salmoniformes; Salmonidae.
CAUUGUUUAUUCUCCUCCAUCUCCGGGGAGGACAGAAAUCAAAGUUUACAGUUUUUUUCUUGCGUGAACUCAAAACGCGAACAUGCCCAGCAAGAGGAAGAAGAACAAGCGCCGCAUGAGAAGGGUGCAGGCCCAGAGGAGAGUCCUUGAGGAGCAGCAUUCUACUGGCGCAGGCAAAGGAACCCCAGGAGUGGCUGCCGUGGCACCCCCCCUUGAAAUAUUAAAUUGUCCCCCCCUUCUCUCACCCCCUCCAGUAGUAAAGGUCCCAGUCGUAAAGCCCCCUGAAAUAUCCAAUUGUCACCCCCUUAUUCCCCCCACUAUAGUAGUAAAGGUCCCAUUCGUACAGCCACCGGCCCCAGUCAAAGUACCAGAUCCUGAGGCUGUGGUGACGGUGGUAGAGCCUGAAGUGGUAGCAGCUGAGGUUGAAGUUGAGGCCCCAGUCGAAGCUCCAGUGGAGGUUGAAGUCGAGGCCCCAGAAGAAGUUCCAGAAGAAGUCCCAGUCGAGGCCCCAGAAGAAGUCCCAGUCGAGGCCCCAGUCGAGGCCCCAGAAGAAGUCCCAGUCGAGGCCCCAGAAGAAGUCCCAGUCGAGGCCCCAGAAAAAGUCCCAGUCGAGGCCCCAGAAGAAGUCCCAGUCGAGGCCCCAGAAGAAGUCCCAGCCGAGACCCCAGAAGAAGUCCCAGUCGAGGCCCCAGAAGAAGUCCCAGUCGAGGCCCCAGAAGAAGUCCCAGUCGAGGCCCCAGAAGAAGUCCCAGUCGAGGCCCCAGAAGAAGUCCCAGUCGAGGCCCCAGAAGAAGUCCCAGUCGAGACCCCAGAAGAAGUCCCAGUCGAGGCUCCAGAAGAAGUCCCAGUUGAGGUCCCAGUCGUAGAAGCAGAAGCUCCUGUUGAGCCCCCUACAGAAGAAACUGCAGCAGGGCAGGAAGUUGAAGAAAGCAUCAUUCCAGAGACUGAGCCAGUAACUGAGGCCAUACCCAUUCCUGAGGCCCCUGUGUCAGCUCUUGCUGAAUUUGAGGUAACCCCCCCCCUGACCCCCCCCUCCAAUCAACUCACUGAACUCUGUUCCUCAACUCGCUGAACCAGUCAUGGAGCCCCCGGGCACCCCGAAAUUCUCCCACAAGUCAUCUGCUGUUGCUCAAACAUGGCUCUGGUUGAGCAGCAGGGUCUGAACAAAGAACAAGCCUGUCUACAGAGAGGUGUUCCUACAUGCAGCUAACAAAAAUACAUGGAAAUGUCUGCUCUAUCCAAAAUUACAACCAGCUUAUUGCAGAAUUACCGCAAAAAUGGAAGAGGUUCAGGACUGGCUGAAGAAGUGCAACAUUUACCUGGAGUUAACUCUGCAAAUAGCACUGCUGGGUGAUCUGAAAAGUUCAGGUCGCAAACUCCGUAGCGAUUACCACAGAGAUCGCACAGCAUGAGACUGUUAUGGCAGAGGCACCUGAAGAGGUUCCAGUGCAGACAGAAAUUAUCCCAGAAAAGCUGUGGAAGCCCGUGGAAGCACCGAUUGAAGAAGCCCCCGUAGCCAAGAUCGCUCCAGCAGAGCUCCUCGUAGAGGCCUCAGUAGACCCUGUCAUCAACACAAUGGCUGACUUUGCCAUCACAGAAUCUGUUCCCGUUGUGGAAGCAGCCAUGGCUGAGCAGGUGCCCGCAGUUUCAACGGAUUCACUUGACGCCCUAUCGGAGUUGCUGAACGACAUCACUCUAGUCACUGAGCCCGCCCCUGUCACAGCUGAUAAAGUCAUUGACGCUAAAGAGGAAAUUGGAGCCCAGAUGGAAAUCGAGGCUAAAAAGGAUGCCAUAGAUGAGAAGACGGUCCUUGACGUCAUCUCUGGAGAUUUAUCCACCCCCCACCCUGUUAUCUCAGAACUGCAGUGUCACACGCAGCUCGCCGCCCCCAAGGAAAUCCCAACAGAGGCAGUGCUGAAUGGACAGAUGGCAGCUGAGGUGGCCAUUGAGGGAUAGAUCUCUAUGGAUGUCCUCAGUCAGUAUGAAAGACUAAAGAGAGCCUGACAGUGAGCCGACCAGCGAACUUUACUUUUCAUUUUUUAGGGCUUAAAGGGACCGCUGGGAAAUUUGACAGACAUCCAACACUCAGUGCCUUUCUUGCUUGGGUUCUUACAAACAAAAUAUUAAACAAGUUUAAAAUGCGACAUGAAGGUGGGGGAAUAACACUUUUUUGUUGUUGAUCAGAAUGUGACAAUUUGGAAUAAACAAAUCAUGGCUUUCAUAGAUUUCUGUAUCCCAUUGCAUAUAUUGUGGAUUUGCCUCAAUUGUAAAUGGCAUGCAUUGUGUAUGAAUACUGUAGAAUUAAUGAAUGUGGCAAUGGCU